GGGGAGUACGACCGCAAGGUUGAAACUCAAAGGAAUUGACGGGGGCCCGCACAAGCGGUGGAGCAUGUGGUUUAAUUCGAAGCAACGCGAAGAACCUUACCAGGUCUUGACAUCCUUUGACCACUCUGGAGACAGAGCUUUCCCUUCGGGGACAAAGUGACAGGUGGUGCAUGGUUGUCGUCAGCUCGUGUCGUGAGAUGUUGGGUUAAGUCCCGCAACGAGCGCAACCCUUGAUUUUAGUUGCCAGCAUUUAGUUGGGCACUCUAAAGUGACUGCCGGUGCAAGCCGGAGGAAGGUGGGGAUGACGUCAAAUCAUCAUGCCCCUUAUGACCUGGGCUACACACGUGCUACAAUGGAUAGUACAAAGGGUCGCGAAGCCGCGAGGUGGAGCUAAUCCCAUAAAACUAUUCUCAGUUCGGAUUGUAGGCUGCAACUCGCCUACAUGAAGCCGGAAUCGCUAGUAAUCGUGGAUCAGCAUGCCACGGUGAAUACGUUCCCGGGCCUUGUACACACCGCCCGUCACACCACGAGAGUUUGUAACACCCGAAGUCGGUAGGGUAACCUUUAUGGAGCCAGCCGCCGAAGGUGGGACAGAUAAUUGGGGUGAAGUCGUAACAAGGUAGCCGUAUCGGAAGGU
RNAcentral lists this ribosomal RNA (637 nucleotides) under Listeria monocytogenes. Its description in RNAcentral is "bacterial SSU rRNA". It matches the Rfam family "Bacterial small subunit ribosomal RNA", at positions 875 to 1513 of the family's 1533-position model. Lineage: Bacteria; Bacillati; Bacillota; Bacilli; Caryophanales; Listeriaceae. The record is from RNAcentral.